CAAUAGCGUAUAUUAAAGUUGUUGCAGUUAAAAAGCUCGUAGUUGGAUUUCAGAAUGCGCGUUACUUUUGUUUACCAUUUUGGUACAAUUGUGAGUCGAUUGCAUUCUUCUUUCUUGAAGACGUUGUAUGCUCUUAACUGAGUGUAUAUAUGGAUUCAGGACAUUUACUUUGAAAAAAUUAGAGUGUUCAAAGCAGGCAUAUUUUUUAAUAAUCGCUUGAAUACAUUAGCAUGGGAUAAUAGAAUAGGACUUGGGUUCUAUUUUGUUGGUUUUCGAGGACCGAAGUAAUGAUUAAUAGGGAUAGUUGGGGGCAUUAAUAUUUAAUAGUCAGAGGUGAAAUUCUUAGAUUUAUGAAAGAUUAACUUCUGCGAAAGCAUUUGCCAAGGAUGUUUUCAUUAA
This 399-nucleotide ribosomal RNA is filed under the name uncultured eukaryote. Its description in RNAcentral is "partial 18S ribosomal RNA". It matches the Rfam family "Eukaryotic small subunit ribosomal RNA", at positions 592 to 976 of the family's 1831-position model. The record is from RNAcentral.